GUCUUUUUGGUAUUUAAUAUAAAGUCUGACCUGCCCACUGAAUAUUGUUUGAAGGGCCGCAGUAUUUUGACUGUGCAAAGGUAGCAUAAUCAUUAGUCUUUUAAUUGAAGGCUGGUAUGAAUGGUUGGAUGAGAUACAAGCUGUGUCAUAAAAAUUAAAAUUUGAAUUUAACUUUUUAGUCAAAAGGCUAAAAUUUUUUUAAAAGACGAGAAGACCCCAUAGAGCUUUAUAUAGUAAUUAUUUAAGUUAUUUAGAUUUUUUAAAUUUAAUUAUUGAUCUGUAUUUUGUUGGGGUGACAAUAAAAUUAAUAAAACUUUUAUUUUUAUUUAACAUUAAUUUAUGAUUAAAUGAUCCAGUUUUAUUGAUUAUAAAAUUAAGUUACCUUGGGGAUAACAGCGUAAUUUUUUUUGAGAGUUCUUAUCGACAAAAAAGAUUGCGACCUCGAUGUUGGAUUAAGAGUAAUUUUGGGUGUAGAAGUUCAAAGUUUAAGUCUGUUCGACUUUUAAAUUCUUACAU
Molecule: ribosomal RNA, 516 nt
Filed under: Simulium kobayashii
Lineage: Eukaryota; Metazoa; Arthropoda; Insecta; Diptera; Simuliidae
Description: partial 16S ribosomal RNA
Rfam family: Bacterial large subunit ribosomal RNA
Source: RNAcentral